AAUUUUUUUUGUUAUAUAUCAUUUUCUGACUAGAUUUUCUAUUACAUUUUAAUUAGUGAUGAAAAACUAAUUUAUUAGUGACAAAAAAUAUUUCCAUCGCAAAUGCAUUGCUAUUUUUUUUUACAUCAUUAAAUAUUUUUAAAAGUUUCAAAUAUUCCAUAUCCAUGCAUAGUUUGUUUUAUGAAAACUAGAAACAUAAUAAGCUCGGGAUAUCAUUUACUUCACACAAACUUACAUGAAUAAAUCCAAAAGUUAAUUCUAAAACGUACAAUUAUAUAUCUAAAGUUGAUUCAUCCUCAAUAUACUACUAUUCUACAAGAGACACAAUAAAAACUAGCUAAUGGGAGGCUAGAGAAUAAGAUGAACUCAAAUGUAUAUUCUUGUCAAACUAAAAUAAUUCAAACUAUGUACAUUGGGUUAGAUAUUUUAUCUUUAAUCUAUAAAAUUCUAGGGAGAUCUACAUUAAAAAAGAAAAAAUUCUAAGUAAUUGAUUUGGGGAUUGAAAAUGUCGCCACCCGAUUGCAUCCAAGGAAGAAAUAACUUCAGUUUUCAUGAUCUUCUUGCAUUCAAGGAUUAAAAUGUACCUUGUAAAUUCAAAAGAAACAACAAUUAGCACAAAAAUGAUGAGCAAACCUAAGGAAAAUUAUACAAAUGUCACGUUUAAUUUGUAAAAAUGCUAAUAGAAUUUCAAGAAGAAAAAAAUUAUGUCUUGAUAUUCUUCUACAAGAAUUUUUAACAAAUAAUAAAAAGGAAAAACUCAAAGCAACAACACAAGUACACGAACCUAUACACCUUUUAAAGAACUUCUUAAGGGAUCUUCACCUCAAUAAUAUAACCUUAUAAUUUUUAAGUUCCCACGCAAUAUUUAUAACAAAUAAAAUACAAUAUUUAUCAAAUUAUUGAGAUAUAUAACCCGCAAAAUUUAACCAAAAAAUCUAAGUCAAAUAGGUAUAAGGAGAUUUAAAAACCUUAAAAUAUAGAGAUAUGAAUAUAACUCGGAAGAGGAAGGCACCGAAUUAACGAUGGUUGAAGAAGAAAUGGGAAAGCGGGAGGAGGGGUGGCGGCUGAGAAGGGGAGGAUGUGAGGUUGAAGUUAGGUUUUGGUUUGGCUUUGCUAUUGCUUUACUGUUUC
Molecule: long non-coding RNA, 1131 nt
Filed under: Nicotiana tabacum (common tobacco)
Lineage: Eukaryota; Viridiplantae; Streptophyta; Magnoliopsida; Solanales; Solanaceae
Description: long non-coding RNA (NTAB_LNC006406)
Source: RNAcentral